UUCAAUGUGGGAGCUGGCUUGCCUGCGAUGGCGGUACAGCAGACAGACCGCUAUCGCAGGCAAGCCAGCUCCCACAGUUGA
This 81-nucleotide non-coding RNA is filed under the name Pseudomonas tolaasii NCPPB 2192. The record is from RNAcentral. Lineage: Bacteria; Pseudomonadati; Pseudomonadota; Gammaproteobacteria; Pseudomonadales; Pseudomonadaceae.